UGGAGAACAACAGGCCUGUGUGUCCUCAGAUGAGGUCCUGUCUUUUCAGAAGAGUCUUCAAGAUUCAGCCUCAUGGCUCUGCAUCCUAGCUGGCCUGUUACUCACUAUGGCUAGCCUCCCGAGGGCUAUGGCACCAUCGCAAGGAAACUUUUGUACAGCAUUACAACGGGCGUCUCUCCUGGGGACAUGCACCUACUUCCCCAAAGUGUCUUGAUGUUCAGCCAGCCACCCUCGGCUUGUGCAGCUCUCUUCCCCUUCGGCACCCUAGGGCGUUUGUAGCGUGACUUAGCUCCUGUCACACGUUCUUUGAGUUGAAAGUGCUGUCCCUGGCUCCUAGGGGUGCGCGGAAGAUAUGCAUGAGCAUGGACACCCAGAUAUGUGGCAGCACUCAUGUCUUUGGAUGUUAAU
This 408-nucleotide long non-coding RNA is filed under the name Rattus norvegicus (Norway rat). RNAcentral describes it as "long non-coding RNA NONRATT029231". The record is from RNAcentral. Lineage: Eukaryota; Metazoa; Chordata; Mammalia; Rodentia; Muridae.